GACGAACGCUGGCGGCGUGCCUAAUACAUGCAAGUCGAGCGGACCAAAGGGAGCUUGCUCCUGGAGGUUAGCGGCGAACGGGUGAGUAACACGUGGGCAACCUGCCUGUAAGACUGGGAUAACAUCGAGAAAUCGGUGCUAAUACCGGAUAAUAAAAAGAACUGCAUGGUUCUUUUUUGAAAGAUGGUUUCGGCUAUCACUUACAGAUGGGCCCGCGGCGCAUUAGCUAGUUGGUGAGGUAACGGCUCACCAAGGCGACGAUGCGUAGCCGACCUGAGAGGGUGAUCGGCCACACUGGGACUGAGACACGGCCCAGACUCCUACGGGAGGCAGCAGUAGGGAAUCUUCCGCAAUGGACGAAAGUCUGACGGAGCAACGCCGCGUGAGUGAUGAAGGUUUUCGGAUCGUAAAACUCUGUUGUUAGGGAAGAACAAGUGCCGUUCGAAAGGGCGGCACCUUGACGGUAUCUAACGAGAAAGCCACGGCUAACUACGUGCCAGCAGCCGACGG
This 510-nucleotide ribosomal RNA is filed under the name uncultured bacterium. Its description in RNAcentral is "bacterial SSU rRNA". It matches the Rfam family "Bacterial small subunit ribosomal RNA", at positions 28 to 520 of the family's 1533-position model. The record is from RNAcentral.